Molecule: ribosomal RNA, 468 nt
Filed under: uncultured bacterium
Lineage: Bacteria
Description: partial 16S ribosomal RNA
Rfam family: Bacterial small subunit ribosomal RNA
Source: RNAcentral
GACGAACGCUGGCGGCGUGCUUAACACAUGCAAGUCGAACGGAAAGGCCCUGCUUUUGUGGGGUGCUCGAGUGGCGAACGGGUGAGUAACACGUGAGUAACCUGCCCUUGACUUUGGGACAACUUCAGGAAACUGGGGCUAAUACCGGAUAGGAGCUCCUGCUGCAUGGUGGGGGUUGGAAAGUUUCGGCGGUUGGGGAUGGACUCGCGGCUUAUCAGCUUGUUGGUGGGGUAGUGGCUUACCAAGGCUUUGACGGGUAGCCGGCCUGAGAGGGUGACCGGCCACACUGGGACUGAGAUACGGCCCAGACUCCUACGGGAGGCAGCAGUGGGGAAUAUUGCACAAUGGGCGGAAGCCUGAUGCAGCAACGCCGCGUGCGGGAUGACGGCCUUCGGGUUGUAAACCGCUUUCGCCUGUGACGAAGCGUGAGUGACGGUAAUGGGUAAAGAAGCACCGGCUAACUACGUG